AUGUCUUUCAGCGCGGCGAUGGCGGCCGGAUCGUUAACGGCACUGUGCCUACUGCUCGCCGCGGCGAAUGCGGCGGCCGAGGCCACGUCCUCUUACAUCGUGCACGUGGCGCCGGCGCACGCGCUGCCGGCGCCGCGCCGCGGGCUGCUCUCCGCCGGAGCGUACGGGUCGUUCCUGCGUGCCCACGUUCCAGCGGACGUGUCCAGCCCGGCGCCGACGGUGCACUACUCCUACGCGCACGCCGCCACCGGCUUCGCGGCGCGGCUCACGGGCCGCCAGGCCGCGCACCUCGCGUCCCAGCGGUCCGUGCUCGGCGUCGUGCCCAGCGUGGCGGAGCGGCCGCACACAACGCUCACGCCCUCCUUCCUCGGCCUCUCGCCGGCGGCUGGGCUGCUCCCGGCAUCCAACGGCGCCACCGACGUCGUCAUCGGCGUCCUCGACAGCGGCGUGUACCCCGUCGGCCGGGCGUCCUUCUCCGCCGACCCGUCGCUACCGCCGGUGCCGGGCAGGUUCCGGGGCGGCUGCGUCGCCACCCCGUCCUUCAACGCCUCCGCCUACUGCAACACCAAGCUGGUGGGCGCCAAGUUCUUCUACAGGGGGUACGAGCAGGAGACUGGCCGGCCGAUCGACGAGCGGGUCAUGUCCAAGUCGCCGCUCGACACCGACGGCCACGGCACGCACACCGCGUCCACCGCUGCCGGCUCUGCCGCCACGGGCGCCGGCUUCUUCGACUACGCAAGAGGGAACGCCGUCGGCGUCGCGCCGGGCGCGCGCAUAGCCGCCUACAAGGUGUGCUGGAAUAACACGUGCACGUCCGACGACAUCCUGGCGGGGUUUGAGGCGGCCAUCGCCGACGGGGUCGACGUCAUCUCCAUCUCGCUCGGGAGCACCAACGGUGCACAGCCGUUUCAUCUGGACACCACCGCCAUAGGCGCGUUCAGAGCCGUCCGCAAGGGCAUCGUCGUCUCCGCGUCCGCGGGGAACAAUGGCCCCAGGGAAACCACUGCCGUCAACAUUGCGCCAUGGUUUUUGACCGUCGCCGCGUCCACCGUCAACCGCCAGUUCCCGGUAGAUGUCCUUCUUGGGAACGGGCAGACCUUCACGGGCACGUCGCUCAACACGGGCACCCCGCUUGGCGCCACCAAACUGCCCUUGGUCUACGGCGGGUUCGUGGGCACACAAUUCUGUGAAGCCGGCAAGCUGAACGCCACCAUGGUCGCCGGAAAGAUCGUCUUGUGCGAGUCGAGCAACAAUGCCCGGACAGCGAAAGGAGAAGCCGUGAGGAUCGCCGGUGGUGUUGGAUUAAUCCUCGCGAGCUUCGAUUUGUACCGCGAGCAAGCCAUGACCGACGCACAUGUCCUCCCUGCAGCAUCUGUGACGUUUGUGGACGCCGUGAAGAUAGCCAACUACAUAGCCACGGAUGGAUCCCCUGCGGCGACGAUCGCGUCCGGCGGCACCGCCAUCGGCCGCAGCGCGCCUCCCUACCCUAGAAUGGCAUCCUUCUCAAGCCGUGGCCCGAGCCGCCACGCGCCGGAGAUCCUCAAGCCCGACAUCACCGCCCCUGGCGUGGACAUCCUGGCCGCCUGGACAGGGGCCAACUCGCCCUCCCACGUCAGCACCGACACGAGGCGAGUGGAGUACAACGUCAUCGCCGGCACCUCCAUGUCAUGCCCGCACGUGAGCGGCGUCGCCGCGCUGCUCCGGCAGGCGAGGCCCGAGUGGAGCCCCGCGGCGAUCAAGUCCGCCAUGAUGACCACCGCGUACAACGUCGACAGCGCCGGCGGCGUCAUCGGCGACAUGUCCACGGGGAAGGCCUCCACUCCUUUCGCCCGCGGGGCGGGCCACGUCGACCCCAACGGCGCCGCCGAUCCGGGCCUGGUGUACGACGCCGACGCCGAGGACUACAUCACCUUCCUCUGCGCCAUCGGGUACGACGCCAAGCAGGUCGCCCUCUUCACGGGGGACGGCUCGGUGACCGACUGCUCGACGCGCUCCGGCUCCGGCGUGGGGGACCUCAACUACCCGGCCUUCUCGGCGGUGUUCGGCCCCGGCAAACGCGCCGUCACGCAACGCCGCGUGGUGCGCAACGUGGGCGGCAACGUCUGGGCCACGUACAAGGUGAGGAUCACUGCCCCGGACGGCGUGCGCGUCACGGUAAGCCCCGGGACGCUGCGGUUCAGGCCGUGGAGGAAGACGCAGGAGUACAAGGUCACCUUGGAGCUGCAAGAGAACCUGCCGGAUAAGCACACAUUUGGAGCGAUUGAGUGGAGCGACGGCCAGCACAAGGUGAAGAGCCCCAUCGCCAUCACCUGGCCUCCCGCGACCGGCAAAAUCGCGCAACUAUGA
Molecule: ribosomal RNA, 2346 nt
Filed under: Triticum aestivum (bread wheat)
Lineage: Eukaryota; Viridiplantae; Streptophyta; Magnoliopsida; Poales; Poaceae
Description: partial small subunit ribosomal RNA
Source: RNAcentral